UGACCGGAUGCCCUUAAAAGUAGGGUAUGAGCUUUCGAGCUGCAACCAUUAGCACCAAAAUUACCUUUUCAAUCUUCGAUUAUCUAGUUUCCACAUCGAGGAGAGCUUUGGAUGUAUAGAGUACAAGUAGUUAGGCCUUCAGCUCUUCUCGUAUAUGGGCAGAGCUUACUGAUGUGAUAAAAACUAACACACAAAUUAAACCUUAUUAAGAUAGUUGUAGUACGCGUAAGUAGGGAUCGUUCUAGGCCGGGGAUUAGUUAGGGAUGCUAAUCAACACAAAUUAAACCUAAAAACUGAAAAUUAGACUCUAGAAGAGAAAACUAAACUCAAACUACUCAAAAUAGACUAAACUGACUCAAAACACACAAACUAAGUUAAAUUGACUUAAAACAAGAAUUAGAGGCUAAUUUGGAUGAAAAUUGAACUAAAAAGACUCAAAACAAUGUAA
Molecule: long non-coding RNA, 448 nt
Filed under: Malus domestica (apple)
Lineage: Eukaryota; Viridiplantae; Streptophyta; Magnoliopsida; Rosales; Rosaceae
Description: long non-coding RNA (MDOM_LNC019106)
Source: RNAcentral